RNAcentral lists this ribosomal RNA (450 nucleotides) under uncultured bacterium. RNAcentral describes it as "bacterial SSU rRNA". It matches the Rfam family "Bacterial small subunit ribosomal RNA", at positions 354 to 796 of the family's 1533-position model. The record is from RNAcentral.
GUGGGGAAUAUUGGACAAUGGGCGAAAGCCUGAUCCAGCCAUGCCGCGUGUGUGAAGAAGGUCUUCGGAUUGUAAAGCACUUUAAGUUGGGAGGAAGGGCAGUAAGUUAAUACCUUGCUGUUUUGACGUUACCGACAGAAUAAGCACCGGCUAACUUCGUGCCAGCAGCCGCGGUAAUACGAAGGGUGCAAGCGUUAAUCGGAAUUACUGGGCGUAAAGCGCGCGUAGGUGGUUUUGUAAGUUGGAGGUGAAAUCCCCGGGCUCAACCUGGGAACUGCCUCCAAAACUGCAUGACUAGAGGACGGUAGAGGGUAGUGGAAUUUCCUGUGUAGCGGUGAAAUGCGUAGAUAUAGGAAGGAACACCAGUGGCGAAGGCGACUACCUGGACUGAUACUGACACUGAGGUGCGAAAGCGUGGGGAGCAAACAGGAUUAGAAACCCCAGUAGUCC